RNAcentral lists this ribosomal RNA (336 nucleotides) under Triticum aestivum (bread wheat). RNAcentral's name for it is "partial small subunit ribosomal RNA". Lineage: Eukaryota; Viridiplantae; Streptophyta; Magnoliopsida; Poales; Poaceae. The record is from RNAcentral.
AUGCACCAGCUUGCUCGCUCGAUCCAGUCGUCCAUCAACGCUUUGAGACGGAACACCAUGCUCCAUGUAAAGCCCGAACUGGUUGACACGAACCCUAGCAGGCAUUCGAAAUCACUAAUUGUGGAGUACUCCUCGCAAAGAUCAUUCUCACUUUCUCAAGUUACGAUAAAUGACGCGUGCCACUUGUCGCAACCUGAUAGUUUUUCUUUUUUCAUAGAUUCAUUUAUUCAAAAUGUUUUAUCUUUUAAACCGUGUGUCCAAACCUUGAACCAUUUUUACUGUUGGAUUCCCCAUGUUGAGAUCUUUAAAACUAUAUCCCAUGUUGAUAGGUUUUGA